AUUAAUUUUACAAAUAAUAAAUAAUAAAGUAAAUUAUAAUUUGCUCACCUACUGUUGCCUCCCCGAAUGUGCUUCUUCUCUCUCGUUCAUUCUCUUUGCCACUCUUUUGUAGUACUCGCAUGAAAAUACUGUUAACGUCACGCGCGCACUAAUUACCAAAAUAUGACAAUCGUGCGACAACUUACGCGACUUUAAAUUGUACACGACGCGCACUUUACAUAUAUUGUAACGAAAAAAUACUACACGAACUUUUUAUAUAGUUCGACAGAAAAAUAAUGCAAAAAUUACAAUAAUCGCGAUCAAUCGAUUGUGCUUAAGACGCUUUGCACAAUUGACGCGAAUCUCACAAAAUGCACAUUUUAUAUCGCGAUGAGAGAAUAAUACGAAAAUUAAUCGCACUUAGACGACUUAGAUCUACAUAUAUUUCGAAAAUACACACGCGUUCACUACUUGCUCGUUCGAAUCAUGCGAAUGAUCGCAAAGUAAUCACGUGUCAAUAACAACACGUCACAAAAUUUGGCGCUUUUUGUACGGUGCGGUGGUAGGAAUGAAUUUUGAAGAGCAUUAGCUCGCACUAUUGUUAACGCGACCUUGUCACAUUGUUGAAUGUAUUUUAUUACAUGUUGUAGUAUCGUACAAGAUCUGUCAAAGUGCGUAUCGUAGUUUCGUAUUAUAAUAUAGUUUUUGCCUUUAUUACACUUAUUCGGUAUUAUCUUUGUGUCGCGAUUUGAAUAAGUGCGCGUCAUGUACGGUUAACAUCGAGUGUCGUGUAAAGUGUCACGUUGUUCUUGUAAUCGCUGCGUUCUUGUAAUUAGUGCGCCCGAAAUUGUAAUUAACAGCGUUUUCGUGAGUGAGUAUCGUGUGAAUGCUACGAAACAGCAGCAACAGACGAACAAGAGAGGAAGAACAGGUCCGGAGAGACGUUGGGUAACAGCGGAGUAAACUACGAGGUCAAAAUGCUGCAUAUUACAACUUCACUGUUGCUCAUCAUCGAGUUUAUCGUAACGAUGCCACGGUCGAUUGCCGGACGAUCCCGACAAAAGGAACAAAAAAAAGCGGCUUGAAAGAAAUUGUGGCCAACUCUUCUUCAUCCGUAUCCUGCGAAACUAAAGCGAAACGUUAUACAUUGGACAACGUUAGAAAGGACUUUUGACGAGAACGCUGGCGCGGGGUAAAAUGGUACCGGACUGUCUAAUUACUCGGGUGCGCCCGGGCAGCUUCGUCUACAAAAGAUGGAGACUGAGAGGUGGCGACGACGUUGGAUCUUACGGGGUUGUACAACAGUCGAGACUAGACUGGCAGCGGCGAGGGGUUGCGGGGGAGGAGAUUUCAGGCCACACCGAGACAACCGGGGCUAAACAGCCAUCUAAAUGCAUCCGAGGUGGCGCUCACUGCCAUUACGGCUGAUGGACGCUUAUUGACGCACGCCCUGCCAGCUAAGGCAGAGCCUCCAGCAAGCCCUCCAGCAUCCCUCGACGAAACGCUCUUCUCUGUCUCUCUGUCUUGUUUCCUUCCUUCUCCUUACCUGCUUCCUUCCCAUUUGCUCGCUGUCUUUGCCCCAACGUCCGACUUGCCUUUUAUUGUGGCGAUAUCAAGAAAGCGCCGCGAAAGCUUAAAGCGCGCCCGACUUUCUCCCCGGCAUCCAAUCGCGAAUUUCGUCGCCGUAAUUAUUCUAACGGAUGAAAGCACUUUGGACGCUUUUAAUUAUCUUUAUGCUGAUAAGCACUGGAGCAGUUACAAUGUGCAUUUCUUGUCAAUUAUACUGUAUAUUCUCUAUUCUGUUUAUAACAUUUCUAUUAAUCUUGAGACCUUUUUUUUUUGAUCAAUACCAUGAAUUUCUGAAUAAGAAAAGAGUUUAUAAUCAGCAAAGAAGGUAUAUAAUGGCUGUGCUCUCUGCUUUUACAUUAUAUAUGUAUCUUAUUCGUAUAUAGAAUAUAACUGUGUUGAAAGUGCGUGUUUAACGCGUA
Long non-coding RNA from Nylanderia fulva, 1967 nucleotides. RefSeq lists it as uncharacterized. The record is from RefSeq and is a predicted model, not a curated record. Lineage: Eukaryota; Metazoa; Arthropoda; Insecta; Hymenoptera; Formicidae.